AAAUCAUACCUUAAUUUUAUUUGAGUUUGUUUUAUUAAUAUAACCAUCUAGUUUUCGACGCUAUAAAUUUUAACUUACCCUAUCCCGGCCGUGGAAAUUGUAAUUACUUUUAUAUUAAAGAUAAUUUUAUAUUAAAUUUUGCUUAUAUUCCGUAGGUGCAAAACUUGGUAUAAAUUCUUUUUUUCUACUUGUUUAUUAUUUGGAAUUGUUUUAUAUUUAUUUCAACUGGUACCGGAAUAGUUUAUUAAUCAAAAAAUUAGCUGUUUCGUAGUUUAUAAAAUAAAUAAAAAUAUUACUACGGAUUCGUGCUAAUUGCACGUAUUUCCGAAUAUAAAUAGCAGCGGGGAUUAUAUAACAAUUCACGUUAUAUAUAAAGGAGGGAGGGUUGCCAAAACCUUUUCCGUACCCCUUUUUCUUCCUUUUCCUUUAACGAUAAUAAUAAUUCCUUCUGGGUACCCAACCGUCGUAUAAUUAUUGGCCUAUUUUAUAAUAUUUAUUAUCGUUUAUUAUUUUUUUUCAUAUAAAUAAUGAAUUUGUUAUUUAUAAAGGAAACCGCCGUUUAGGUACCGGACGCCGCGUUUUGAAAACUAUAGCGGAUAAUUGCGGAUUUAUUAAAACAAAUGCACACGUUGCAAAUAAAAACCCCGAUAACACCAAUUAUCGCGGAAAUAUUAUAAAUAACGGCGCCGCCGAAACGUAAACCGUUUCAAAAUUAAUUAUUAUAUAAUAACGUUCCGGUUUUAUUUAUAAUUUGGCAAUACGUUAUAAAAUAUAAAUUUCGGCGCGACGUGGAUUUUUUAAAAUAACCAUUGCAAUUAAUAUAAAUAUUUAUAUACGAAAUUGGACGUUCCCGUCCAAAAAUAGUCCGUUUUUAAUAUAAAACAGGCGGUAAAAACGGCGCGUAUUAUUAUACGGAUUUUUUAAAUUAUUUAAAAUAUAUACAUAAUGAUUUUUAUAAACGGGUAUAAAUUUUGAUCGAAUUUAAAAUAUUAAAAAUUAAAUUAAAUUAACUAUUCGCCCAAUUUAUUACGGUUUUCGAAAAGAAUUCUAAUUACGGCCGGAAAAUUGGUUUGGACGGACGUAAUGCGUAUUAAUUUUUUGCGUUUCCGUAUAUUUUCCAAAAUCCGAAAAAAUAUAUUAGACGGGGUUUUAAAAACGGUAUUUACUUAAAAAAGUGGUUAUUUACCGCCAAAUUACCCAAAAUUUUAAAACGAUUAAAUUAAAUAAAUGUUUUAGUUUUUACCGCGCGGGUACCGCCCCGGUUUUUAUAUUAACGAAAAACGAAAAUAUAUUUAUAAUAAGUAUAACCGCGAUAAAAUCGAAUUUAAUAAGAAACGAAAAAACGCCGUAAACCCGAAUAAUUCCCAUUUUUGAAUUUUAAUAAAAAAAUACGCGUUGACGCGCCUAAUAAAAUUUUGAUAAUAAAAAUUAAAAAAAGCGCGAAAUAAUAACGUAUUUGCGUUGCGCUAAUUUAAAUUACCAAAUAACGGAUCAUAUAUAUAAAUAACGGCGUUACGUUUUUUUAUAACAAUAACCGCAAUUACGACGGAGACCCCCGGGAAAGAAAUAAAUGGCUUUCGAUACAAACUUUAAUCGAAAAUAAAAGCCGCAAAACGCAAUUAAAAUAAAAACGGGUAAAGAAUUGAGAAACAAAUACGGCGAAAUUAAUUCGAUUCGAUAUUUUAUAAACGGGGCAUUAUUUUUUGUUUUUUUUUAUUAAACGAUUUAUAACUAACUAAUAAAUAAAUAAAUUUAAAUUGCAAAUAUUACGCGGCAAUAAAUAAUAAAUAUAUUAUUUGGUUAAAAAUCGAAAAAGUAUAUUU
This 1823-nucleotide small RNA is filed under the name Pyricularia oryzae. Its description in RNAcentral is "Magnaporthe oryzae sRNA M_BR32_EuGene_00111761". The record is from RNAcentral. Lineage: Eukaryota; Fungi; Ascomycota; Sordariomycetes; Magnaporthales; Pyriculariaceae.